AUUCAAAUCUGUCAAAUGUGAUUUUUAUAUAAUCUUCUGCUGGUAAUGAGCAAUGGUUCACUGAUCUUUUGUCCAACAUUGACAUUUUAUUCUUUGUUUUAGUAUGGUAUAAUGGUGAUAUUAAAGACUUAUUUGAAUUUUUAAUGAUCGACUUCUUAAAGCCUGAUUUAAUCAUUGAUUUUUGAACCCUGCUUCCUAUGCCAGUUUUCAGGU
Molecule: unclassified non-coding RNA, 213 nt
Filed under: Hevea brasiliensis (rubber tree)
Lineage: Eukaryota; Viridiplantae; Streptophyta; Magnoliopsida; Malpighiales; Euphorbiaceae
Source: RNAcentral